Molecule: ribosomal RNA, 387 nt
Filed under: uncultured bacterium
Lineage: Bacteria
Description: bacterial SSU rRNA
Rfam family: Archaeal small subunit ribosomal RNA
Source: RNAcentral
GCGCGAAAACUUUACAAUGCUGGCAACAGCGAUAAGGGAACCUCGAGUGCCAGGUUACAAAUCUGGCUGUCGAGAUGCCUAAAAAGCAUUUCAUAGCAGGGGCCGGGCAAGACCGGUGCCAGCCGCCGCAGUAACACCGGCGGCUCGAGUGGUAACCGUUAUUAUUGGGUCUAAAGGGUCUGUAGCCGGCCGGAUAAGUCUCUUGAGAAAUCUGGCAGCUUAACUGUCAGGCUUUCAGGAGAUACUGUCUGGCUCGAGGCCGGGAGAGGUGAGAGGUACUUCAGGGGUAGGGGUGAAAUCUUGUAAUCCUUGAAGGACCACCAGUGGCGAAGGCGUCUCACCAGAACGGACCUGACGGCAAGGGACGAAAGCUAGGGGCACGAACCG